RNA transcript from Saccostrea cuccullata (small rock oyster), 624 nucleotides. RefSeq lists it as uncharacterized. The record is from RefSeq and is a predicted model, not a curated record. The transcript is spliced from 4 exons. NCBI's taxonomy places the organism in Eukaryota, Metazoa, Mollusca, Bivalvia, Ostreida, Ostreidae.
UUAUAAAUUUACAAAAAAAUUGAAUUUAAUUUUUUUUAAAAAGGCUUCAAUGGAUUUAGUAAAUCAUCUCCUGUUAGCAAUAUUUGCGCUUAUUUCAUUUAAAAAAAUGUUGUCGGCAUCUACAAUUUGCGCUAUGGACAGAACUUGCUGUUUAAACUAUAACUGGAACCCUGUCUUUAAAACGUGCAAAGUCUGUAGAAAUGGUACCUUUGGAAUUGAUUGUUAUAUUCCAUGCUUCAGUUCGACACAUGGUUUGUAAUGUCAUUCCCUUUGUAAAUGCAGUCGACAAGAUUGCCACCAUGCAUUUGGAUGUGUUCACGAGGAUAUUGCAUAUACUUUACCUACAAUCCUACAGGGGAUGGAAAUUAAUAAUCAAGUUUUGCCUAUAGACACUAGACGAUACAAUGAUUCUCUGAAAAAAAGUGAAUUAAACGUAAGGUUUUUACUCCACUUGAUAAAUAUCACAUCCAGCUUUAUUAUUGCUAUUUUGCUGUUUAUCAUAAUAGCACAUGUCGUCUUAUUUGCGGAUCGACGUCGUGAAGUGAACUCUGUUCGUCGCCUUCAGUCAACUAAACCACCACAAAAUCUCUCAACAGAAACUAUAUUUCUUGAAACAAACGUAUA